Non-coding RNA from Roseburia sp. 831b, 341 nucleotides. Lineage: Bacteria; Bacillati; Bacillota; Clostridia; Lachnospirales; Lachnospiraceae. The record is from Rfam.
GGGCUAGUAAAGGUUUCGACGGGGGAUCUGCAGCUGGAGAAGCGAGUCGUAUGGUAAUGCGUCAAAUGGCCAAACUAAAAUUAAACGCUGAAGAUAAUUUAGCAUACGCUGCCUAAUGGCAGCAGUCGGCUCUAAAGCACUCACACUUUAGAAUCCCGGCUUCGACCAUGUGAGAAACGACACUGUCAAAGCUUUGAGGCAGUGGGCGUAUUAUGAAGCUACUAAAACGUCUAGGGUGUUUGUUCCCGAGGCGCAGAGGGAAUGUCAAAGAAUAAACUACACUCGUAGAAGGACAGGGAAUUUUCCUUCGGACACGGGUUCGACUCCCGUCUAGUCCACUU